CACAGUUGUUAAAAACAGGCUGCAAACUCUGCCCUGUGCAUUACCAGUGGUGUGCACAGCAUCUCUAGGAUGAAUGCCAGAGUAUCUCCCUGAAGUCUUGGGAGAUGUUGCCUUCAGAUGCCAAGAUAGCCCCAGAAUCGGUCAUCGAGGAUGCUGGUGAGAGAGGAUGCAUUUAAGGUUUUGCACAGCUGAAUCAUGACCUAUAUUACGUCACCAAGCCUUGAAUUUGAUGUAAGCCAGGGUGAAAUCUGGCUUAUCGCUUGUAUUAUAAACAAGAAUUGUGGAUGUUGACAUUGAGACAGAAACAAGACUUUAUUGGGAAUGCCAGUGGUUCAAAGAUGAAAAGGCCUCAAGAGGCUUUUUGUUAUCAAAUUCCACUUACCCUCCCCGUUGUAACUUUCAUCAGAGCUGAAGGGAUGCUGCCAAAAUCUGACUUCACUUCAGAAAGUGCCAGGAUACGCUGCUGGAGUUGCAACAGAAGAAAGACAGUUGGAAGGAGACAAACAUUCAGGUUAUGGCCUGGGAGAAGGGAAGAGGCUGGAGGAGAAAGAAAAUGGUUUUGUGUUGCUUCCCAAACCUUCUCCAAAGUUGCUAGGCAGGUGGGGGAGAUGGGGCCAGCCCCAUCUGGUCCACUUUUUCCAACAAUCUCUUUUCACAUCACUUUUCCUGCCAUGUGGGAAAAUGGGAAAAAUUCCCAACAAAUCACUGCAAAGUCUGCCCUGUGUUUCCUGGCAGCUCCCUCCUCUUCUUCAAAGUAGCCAAGAACCUACAGCCCAACAGCAGCUGAGCAGGUAGUACCAUUCUCCCUGCAUCUUGGAGGUGGACAACACUCACUUUGCUUUGCCCCAUUUUUACCCCAGUGAUUAUGUGAAGAAAUUUUCAGAACAAAGGACCAUUCUUUGCAUUUGUUUGACAAGUGUGCAGAGCAGUGAGAAUCCUCAAAUCCAUAUUCGUCCGUGGCCACAAUAAUGAGGCUAAUAAUAUCUGCAUGACCAUCAUACAAGCCAACAGAUACAGGACGGACAAGAAGGCUUUGUUACCUCCUCCUUCUUGAGUACUGAGAGCAGACCCUUCAGAAUAUCUGGUUUUCCAGGUGCAGAUGCUCACCAUUAUCUCAAAGAUCAGCUGACUUUCUGAUCUCCACUUAGGUUUUGCCCAAAAGGAGCAUCCCAGCUUACUAAUCAUUUCAGGAAAUUGUACCUUAUUGUGUUGGUUCAUCAGUUUUCCCUGAUUGUGCAAUGGAAAUAAAACUGCUUACUCCACCAUGAUUUCUCAAAAAUACUUUCAGUGUCUCCAGCAAAAGCUAUUUGUGUACAAAGCAUUAUUAAUAUUGUGAAAUGAUGAAAAAUCAACAUGUG
RNAcentral lists this long non-coding RNA (1358 nucleotides) under Gallus gallus (chicken). RNAcentral's name for it is "lncRNA (ENSGALG00010018636.1)". Lineage: Eukaryota; Metazoa; Chordata; Aves; Galliformes; Phasianidae. The record is from RNAcentral.